Molecule: transfer-messenger RNA, 114 nt
Filed under: Burkholderiales bacterium
Lineage: Bacteria; Pseudomonadati; Pseudomonadota; Betaproteobacteria; Burkholderiales
Description: partial transfer-messenger RNA
Rfam family: transfer-messenger RNA
About the family: Bacterial tmRNA, also known as 10Sa RNA or SsrA, is named for its dual tRNA and mRNA-like properties. Its role is to liberate the mRNA from a stalled ribosome.
Source: RNAcentral
GGGGGCGAAUUGGAUUCGACAGGAGUUGCAAAGCAACGCAGGGCAUACCGAGGACCAGCUACCUCGUAAAUACAACUGGAAAACUAUAGUCGCAAACGACGAAAACUACGCUUU